GGACUAUAGCUCAGUUGGUAGAGUGCUUGCCUUGCAUGCCCAAGGCCCUGGGUUCAAUCCCCAGUACCA
RNAcentral lists this transfer RNA (69 nucleotides) under Marmota monax (woodchuck). Its description in RNAcentral is "tRNA.Ala". The stretch from base 5 to 66 matches the Rfam family "tRNA", at positions 6 to 65 of the family's 71-position model. Rfam says of the family: Transfer RNA (tRNA) molecules are approximately 80 nucleotides in length. The record is from RNAcentral. Lineage: Eukaryota; Metazoa; Chordata; Mammalia; Rodentia; Sciuridae.